RNAcentral lists this ribosomal RNA (331 nucleotides) under uncultured bacterium. RNAcentral describes it as "bacterial SSU rRNA". It matches the Rfam family "Bacterial small subunit ribosomal RNA", at positions 568 to 898 of the family's 1533-position model. The record is from RNAcentral.
CGCGCAGGCGGCUAUUUUUGUCGAGUGUGAAAGCCCCGGGCUUAACCUGGGAACUGCGCUCGAAACGGGAUGGCUGGAGAUCGGGAGAGGAGAGUGGAAUUCCCAGUGUAGAGGUGAAAUUCGUAGAUAUUGGGAAGAACACCGGUGGCGAAGGCGGCUCUCUGGACCGAUACUGACGCUGAGGCGCGAAAGCGUGGGGAGCAAACAGGAUUAGAUACCCUGGUAGUCCACGCUGUAAACGAUGUGUGCUAGACGUUGGGGAGCCUAGCUCUUCGGUGUCGCAGCUAACGCUUUAAGCACACCGCCUGGGGAGUACGGCCGCAAGGUUAAA